RNAcentral lists this long non-coding RNA (571 nucleotides) under Rattus norvegicus (Norway rat). RNAcentral's name for it is "long non-coding RNA NONRATT024408". The record is from RNAcentral. Lineage: Eukaryota; Metazoa; Chordata; Mammalia; Rodentia; Muridae.
CAACUUUAGAGCCAGCUCUCUCCUUCCACCAUUAUUGUGAGUUCCAUGAGCAGCACUCAGGCCGCUGCCCUUGCACGGUGUCCUCUUCUGAUGGCUCUGCCUUGUCACCACUUGCCGAAUACUUCAGACUUGGAGAAAGCUUAGUGUAUUUUUGGCCAAGGGCAACAUCUCGGAGACGAAGAUGGAAUCGCGGUGACUACAGCUGCUGCCUUGGUACAAAUUUACCCCAGCUACCCUUGGAAGCUCUGAAAGAACAGCUGCUGCUUUAACCACUGAGCCAUCUCUCUAGCUCCCCUCCCCCUUAUACCUCUUUUUUUUUUUUUUAAAUGGUUAUUCAUGAUCUUUAACUAAGCCUGGCCUAACCCAGGUUUCCUAGGGAUCAAAUGGCUUUGGGCUCUCAAAUGUCUACUCUGAAAGAAAGGAAGGAGGGAGGGAGAUCCUGCUGCUGCUUUACAGCAGGGACAACAAAAGUGAUUUAUCACAAAGGCUUACCAAGAUUCACUUCUCUCUCUCAUCAAUGUAGAUUAAAUUUAACUAUAUCUUCAAAAGCCUAAUAAACCCGUACAGUCUC